Molecule: long non-coding RNA, 1110 nt
Filed under: Homo sapiens (human)
Lineage: Eukaryota; Metazoa; Chordata; Mammalia; Primates; Hominidae
Description: HSALNT0297629
Source: RNAcentral
AGAGUUCUACUCUUAGGAUCCAAAGUGGAUUGAAGAAGUCUCCAAUUGCCCUUAAGAAGCUCUGGGUGGGGAGCCUGAGUGGGAGCAGGAGAGGAACCAUUACCCCAGGUUUGGCGCUGAUGAUCACAGUGGUGUACAGUAGGCAGCUGCAACUGUUCAGGCCCACUUGGAGUUUCUACUGGAAACCCAGUGAUGAAAGAUUUUUGGAAUCAUUUAUUUAUUCCCCAGCCUCACAGAUGAAAUUUUAAAAAAAAAACUCAACUCAUGGGCACACGGGCAAAAAAUUCCCCCAUUCUCAAUUUUAUUUUGAUUCCUCUUUCCUUUAUUGCUUAGAGAAUUCAGCCUGGAGCCAAAGCAAGUGGGAAAAGGUCACCUCAUCCACCAUGUCUUUAGGCAGAACUGAUUCAGCACACACCAACAUAGAAGACUUUUAUUAAAGUUCCCAGCAUGGCGUGCCCUCUCUCUGCCUCUUUGCAUCCUACCCAUCCUUCACCACCUCGCCACUCCAUAAAGCCCUCUCUGAUCACACCAGUCUGCAGCGAUCUCGCCCUGCUCUGAACACAUAAGCGCUCAUUAUCUGCACCACUCAUUUUGCAAUUAAUCGUGUACUGCCUUGUGACAUCGCUUCUAGUGCUUUGUCUGACUGUUAUCCAACUUCUCACCUGCUGACGGAUGGAACCCUUGAUGACAAUAUGAGUGACUGGACAGCAGGAGCUACAGCUCCUACAUCUCUGUGUCCCUAACAUUACCUGGCAGAGGCCUCAACACCAACAUGGAAGACAGCUAGGUAUACUUCAAUUCUACCUCCUCUGAUAAAACUUAUCCCAGGCGUCCGGCUCCCACCUGAGAUUGCAGGAAUCUUCAAGCCUUAACAUAUCUACUGGGCCUCAAGAUGCAGCAGGCCCUCAGAGAGCCAUCGCAACCAUCACAACACUCCUGGAGAGCCCCAGGGAACGUACAUAUCUUCAUUCCACCUACGUUCUUAUGAAGUAGCUUGUCUUCUCCUUCAUUUAAAAAAUGAAGAAACUCUCCACUCUCACUGCUUCAUUUGACUACCCUUUAAAAAAAAAAGGAGAAACUGAGACCUAUAAAUUUUAUCAAAACCCUGAG